UGGGGAAUUUUGGACAAUGGGCGAAAGCCUGAUCCAGCAAUGCCGCGUGUGUGAAGAAGGCCUUCGGGUUGUAAAGCACUUUUGUCCGGAAAGAAAUCCUUGGCUCUAAUACAGUCGGGGGAUGACGGUACCGGAAGAAUAAGCACCGGCUAACUACGUGCCAGCGCCGCGGUAAUACGUAGGGUGCAAGCGUUAAUCGGAAUUACUGGGCGUAAAGCGUGCGCAGGCGGUUUGCUAAGACCGAUGUGAAAUCCCCGGGCUCAACCUGGGAACUGCAUUGGUGACUGGCAGGCUAGAGUAUGGCAGAGGGGGGUAGAAUUCCACGUGUAGCAGUGAAAUGCGUAGAGAUGUGGAGGAAUACCGAUGGCGAAGGCAGCCCCCUGGGCCAAUACUGACGCUCAUGCACGAAAGCGUGGGGAGCAAACAGGAUUAGAUACCCUGGUAGUCCACGCCCUAAACGAUGUCAACUAGUUGUUGGGGAUUCAUUUCCUUAGUAACGUAGCUAACGCGUGAAGUUGACCGCCUGGGGAGUACGGUCGCAAGAUUAAAACUCAAUGAAUUGACGGGGUCAUAGCUGUUUCCU
RNAcentral lists this ribosomal RNA (583 nucleotides) under uncultured bacterium. RNAcentral's name for it is "partial 16S ribosomal RNA". It matches the Rfam family "Bacterial small subunit ribosomal RNA", at positions 355 to 1375 of the family's 1533-position model. The record is from RNAcentral.